Molecule: ribosomal RNA, 279 nt
Filed under: uncultured bacterium
Lineage: Bacteria
Description: partial 16S ribosomal RNA
Rfam family: Bacterial small subunit ribosomal RNA
Source: RNAcentral
AUUGAACGCUGGCGGCGUGCUUAACACAUGCAAGUCGUGCGGUAACAGGCGUAGCAAUACGUGCUGACGAGCGGCGAACGGGUGCGUAAUACAUGGGAAUCUGCCCUUUAGUGGGGAAUAACCCGGCGAAAGCCGGGCUAAUGCCGCAUAAGAUCUUCGGAUGAAAGCGGGGGAGUCGUAAGACCUCGCGCUGAUGGAUGAGCCCACUGUCGGAUUAGCUAGUUGGUGAGGUAACGGCUCACCAAGGCGACGAUCCGUAGCUGGUCUGAGAGGACGGCC